This 253-nucleotide ribosomal RNA is filed under the name uncultured bacterium. Its description in RNAcentral is "partial 16S ribosomal RNA". It matches the Rfam family "Bacterial small subunit ribosomal RNA", at positions 524 to 776 of the family's 1533-position model. The record is from RNAcentral.
UACGUAGGGUGCGAGCGUUGUCCGGAAUUAUUGGGCGUAAAGAGCUCGUAGGCGGUUUGUCGCGUCUGCUGUGAAAACUCAGGGCUUAACCCUGAGCCUGCAGUGGGUACGGGCAGACUAGAGUGUGGUAGGGGAGAUCGGAAUUCCUGGUGUAGCGGUGGAAUGCGCAGAUAUCAGGAGGAACACCGGUGGCGAAGGCGGGUCUCUGGGCCGAUACUGACGCUGAGGAGCGAAAGCGUGGGGAGCGAACAGG